Molecule: non-coding RNA, 45 nt
Organism: Chelonia mydas (Green sea turtle)
Lineage: Eukaryota; Metazoa; Chordata; Testudines; Cheloniidae
Source: Rfam
CCAAAGGCUCUUUUCAGAGCCACCUACUGUCUCAAAAAAAGAGUU